CUGCCCUUGGGUCCGGCAUAACCCCGGGAAACUGGGGAUAAUUCCGGAUAACGCACAUAUGCUGGAAUGCUUUAUGCGUCAAAUGGAUUCGUCUGCCCAAGGAUGGGUCUGCGGCCUAUCAGGUAGUAGUGGGUGUAAUGUACCUACUAGCCGACGACGGGUACGGGUUGUGAGAGCAAGAGCCCGGAGAUGGAUUCUGAGACAUGAAUCCAGGCCCUACGGGGCGCAGCAGGCGCGAAAACUUUACAAUGCGGGAAACCGUGAUAAGGGGACACCGAGUGCCAGCAUCAUAUGCUGGCUGUCCGGGUGCGUAAAAUACACCUGUUAGCAAGGGCCGGGCAAGACCGGUGCCAGCCGCCGCGGUAACACCGGCGGCCCGAGUGGUGAUCGUGAUUAUUGGGUCUAAAGGGUCCGUAGCCGGUUUGGUCAGUCCUCCGGGAAAUCUGACGGCUUAACCGUUAGGCUUUCGGAGGAUACUGCCAGGCUUGGAACCGGGAGAGGUAAGAGGUACUACAGGGGUAGGAGUGAAAUCUUGUAAUCCCUGUGGGACCACCUGUGGCGAAGGCGUCUUACCAGAACGGGUUCGACGGUGAGGGACGAAAGCUGGGGGCACGAACCGGAUUAGAUACCCGGGUAGUCCCAGCCGUAAACGAUGCUCGCUAGGUGUC
This 668-nucleotide ribosomal RNA is filed under the name Methanosarcina sp. enrichment culture clone E06. RNAcentral describes it as "bacterial SSU rRNA". It matches the Rfam family "Archaeal small subunit ribosomal RNA", at positions 109 to 775 of the family's 1478-position model. The record is from RNAcentral. Lineage: Archaea; Methanobacteriati; Methanobacteriota; Methanomicrobia; Methanosarcinales; Methanosarcinaceae.